ACAUUAUUUGAGUAUCCUGAAAACGGGCUUUUCAGAAUAGUGUUGUGAUUUAUUAAAUUAAGGAGUGCAUAGUGGCCCGUAUAGCAGGCAUUAACAUUCCUGAU
Molecule: small RNA, 104 nt
Filed under: insect gut metagenome
Description: Alpha operon ribosome binding site
Rfam family: Alpha operon ribosome binding site
About the family: The bacterial alpha operon ribosome binding site is surrounded by this complex pseudoknotted structure. Translation of the mRNA produces 4 ribosomal protein products, one of which (S4) acts as a translational repressor by binding to the nested pseudoknot region.
Source: RNAcentral